CCUACGGGUGGCAGCAGUCGAGAAUCAUUCACAAUGGGGGAAACCCUGAUGGUGCGACGCCGCGUGGGGGAAUGAAGGUCUUCGGAUUGUAAACCCCUGUCAUGUGGGAGCAAAUUAAAAAGAUAGUACCACAAGAGGAAGAGACGGCUAACUCUGUGCCAGCAGCCGCGGUAAUACAGAGGUCUCAAGCGUUGUUCGGAAUCACGGGGCGUAAAGCGUGCGUAGGCUGUUUCGUAAGUCGUGUGUGAAAGGCGCGGGCUCAACCCGCGGACGGCACAUGAUACUGCGAGACUAGAGUAAGGGAGGGGGAACCGGAAUUCUCGGUGUAGCAGUGAAAUGCGUAGAUAUCGAGAGGAACACUCGUGGCGAAGGCGGGUUCCUGGACAUUAACUGACGCUGAGGCACGAAGGCCAGGGGAGCGAAAGGGAUUAGAUACCCUAGUAGUC
Molecule: ribosomal RNA, 446 nt
Filed under: uncultured bacterium
Lineage: Bacteria
Description: partial 16S ribosomal RNA
Rfam family: Bacterial small subunit ribosomal RNA
Source: RNAcentral